GGGAAUAUUGCACAAUGGGGGAAACCCUGAUGCAGCGACGCCGCGUGAGUGAAGAAGUAUUUCGGUAUGUAAAGCUCUAUCAGCAGGGAAGAAGUUGACGGUACCUGAGUAAGAAGCCCCGGCUAACUACGUGCCAGCAGCCGCGGUAAUACGUAGGGGGCAAGCGUUAUCCGGAUUUACUGGGUGUAAAGGGAGCGUAGACGGCAGUGCAAGUCUGAAGUGAAAGCCCCGGGCUUAACCCGGGAACUGCUUUGGAAACUGUACGGCUGGAGUGCUGGAGAGGUAAGCGGAAUUCCUAGUGUAGCGGUGAAAUGCGUAGAUAUUAGGAGGAACACCAGUGGCGAAGGCGGCUUACUGGACGAUAACUGACGCUGAGGCUCGAAAGCGUGGGGAGCAAAC
Molecule: ribosomal RNA, 399 nt
Filed under: uncultured bacterium
Lineage: Bacteria
Description: bacterial SSU rRNA
Rfam family: Bacterial small subunit ribosomal RNA
Source: RNAcentral